RNAcentral lists this ribosomal RNA (515 nucleotides) under uncultured bacterium. RNAcentral's name for it is "partial 16S ribosomal RNA". It matches the Rfam family "Bacterial small subunit ribosomal RNA", at positions 28 to 523 of the family's 1533-position model. The record is from RNAcentral.
GACGAACGCUGGCGGCGUGCCUAAUACAUGCAAGUCGAGCGAAUGGAUUAAGAGCUUGCUCUUAUGAAGUUAGCGGCGGACGGGUGAGUAACACGUGGGUAACCUGCCCAUAAGACUGGGAUAACUCCGGGAAACCGGGGCUAAUACCGGAUAACAUUUUGAACCGCAUGGUUCGAAAUUGAAAGGCGGCUUCGGCUGUCACUUAUGGAUGGACCCGCGUCGCAUUAGCUAGUUGGUGAGGUAACGGCUCACCAAGGCAACGAUGCGUAGCCGACCUGGGAGGGUGAUAAGCCACAUUGGGACUGAGACACGGCCCAAACUCCUACGGGAGGCAGCAGUGGGGAAUAUUGGACAAUGGGCGCAAGCCUGAUCCAGCCAUGCCGCGUGAGUGGUGAAGGCUUUCGGGUCGUAAAACUCUGUUGUUAGGGAAGAACAAGUGCUAGUUGAAUAAGCUGGCACCUUGACGGUACCUAACCAGAAAGCCACAGCUAACUACGUGCCAGCCGCCGCCGUAA